Molecule: long non-coding RNA, 244 nt
Organism: Mustela erminea (ermine)
Lineage: Eukaryota; Metazoa; Chordata; Mammalia; Carnivora; Mustelidae
Exons: 3
Source: RefSeq, a predicted model, not a curated record
AAGAAUACAUUUUUCCAGUGUCGAACCAAGAUCAAUAGAGAAAAACAAAUAAUUUCAAGUGGGAGUUGUCAUAAUGAUACCCAGACUGCAAGCCAGUUAUGUGCAAAAGCAGUCAGGCACUGGGGACGUAAAGAUGACAGCCCUUCAGGAACCUGGGUCUGGUGUUGUACCAGGGGGAGAAAGUCCAAGUUUGGUACAGUGGCUCCACCAGGAUCUGGCCUUCUUCCUCCUGUUCUACCAUCUU